This 285-nucleotide long non-coding RNA is filed under the name Brassica napus (rape). Its description in RNAcentral is "long non-coding RNA (BNAP_LNC025631)". The record is from RNAcentral. Lineage: Eukaryota; Viridiplantae; Streptophyta; Magnoliopsida; Brassicales; Brassicaceae.
UCAAAUGUUUUUUUCCUGGAAUUUUUGAUCUACGAAUUUACUUAUUUGACAAAUCAAAGUGGAGCAUAUGGCUUUUGAAUAAAAUAUCAAUUAAUGUUAAGAUAAUGCUUAAAAAGCAACCAAUCAGAUAAUUAACAAAACAAUUGUUAGCAAGAAAUUGGCCCUAAACUCAUUCGAUGUUUUAGUUAAAUCCCUAUUUUUUCUCUGAUUACCACUAUCACGUGCAUGUUAUCUAUAACUUCCAAAUCGUGGCAUGAUUUUAAACUGUUUCGUCUUUUAUAUACU